GAGAGCAUGUGGAUCGUUUGAGAGGCUUUUUGCAAUGUUUGCACGCUGGUACUCACUGACGGCAUUCAUGCAUUUCCGCGACAGAUACUCUCCACGCUUUGCUUUCAUCUCGCUUCGUGUGCGGCGGGGCUUCAUUUCCUCCCUUUGUGGCAGUUCACUUCUUCCUUGACAAUGGUGACAUGUUUUUGUGGUUCAGUACAAGACAUGUGUUUUAUUAUUUUCGAAAAACCCGAUAGAUGGUCGCAAAUCCCAAGUCCUAAAAUUGGUGACCUAAGACUGACUCGAGUCCAGUCCUGUGUCGAGUGCCCCAACUCUGCUGAAUGCACCAUAAAACACACAUACAAACAAACAGACACAAAAAAAGUGGAUCUGUUUCUCCCGUCAUGCACAAAGCCGAGAAAUUGGAUUGACUGCGAAGAUCAAGAUGAAAUAUUGGCUAUUAUUCACAAAUGAAGGUGGAUUGUAAUUGAAAAAGAAUGUGCUCUGACACGAGACUCCUGCAAGAGAAAAGUAGGCCAUUGACACCCUCGGUCUUGAUCGAAAAGAAGGCCAAGGGCUGUUUUGGCUUUUUUUCUGUGGGAGGAAAGUUUGAUUAUUUCCAGGUGUAUGUGCGACUGCGGGUGCAUCGUGACACAAAUUCACAUAUUUGACGACGUUCGCCGGCUUUAAAAGCCCGCAGUGCAAACAUCCACUUCACACCUGAUUACGUCCGACAUGUGCGAUGACAGCUCUUAAUGCUGACCAAGUACUAUAUCCAACGCCCCCCCUCUUGUGCUUUGCAUGCCGUGGUUUUCGUCACAUUACAAGGCAAGAGAAUCUGCGCCGACCCGACCAAGUUGUGGACCCAAACUAGCAUGGCAUACCUCGACGGGAAGAACUGUCAUGCCCAAAAGCUAGGCACAAAAUGGAAGCGAGCACACCGCUUCACAUGAACUGUAGUAAUGUCUUCAUAUUUUGUACAUUAAAAGGCUCCUUUUU
This is a long non-coding RNA of Hippocampus comes (tiger tail seahorse), 978 nucleotides long. RefSeq lists it as uncharacterized. The record is from RefSeq and is a predicted model, not a curated record. The transcript has 2 exons. Lineage: Eukaryota; Metazoa; Chordata; Actinopteri; Syngnathiformes; Syngnathidae.